This 1347-nucleotide ribosomal RNA is filed under the name metagenome. RNAcentral's name for it is "bacterial LSU rRNA". It matches the Rfam family "Bacterial large subunit ribosomal RNA", at positions 1598 to 2925 of the family's 2925-position model. The record is from RNAcentral.
UACCACGCUUCCAGGAAAAGCCACUAAGCUUCAGCUGUAGAAAAACCGUACCGCAAACCGACACAGGUAGGCAGGGUGAGAAUCCCAAGGCGCUUGAGAGAACUCGGGUGAAGGAACUAGGCAAAAUGGCACCGUAACUUCGGGAGAAGGUGCGCCUCUUGGUGUGGUCACGUGCGUGACUGAGCAUCGAGGGGUCGCAGUAACCUGGCCGCUGCGACUGUUUAUCAAAAACACAGCACUCUGCAAACACGAAAGUGGACGUAUAGGGUGUGACGCCUGCCCGGUGCUGGAAGGUUAAUUGAUGGGGUCAGCCGCAAGGCGAAGCUCUUGAUCGAAGCCCCAGUAAACGGCGGCCGUAACAAUAACGGUCCUAAGGUAGCGAAAUUCCUUGUCGGGUAAGUUCCGACCUGCACGAAUGGCGUAACGACAGCGGCGCUGUCUCCACCCGAGACUCAGUGAAAUUGAAAUCGCUGUGAAGAUGCAGCGUUCCCGCGGCAAGACGGAAAGACCCCGUGAACCUUUACUAUAGCUUUACACUGAACGUUGAGUUCUUCUGUGUAGGAUAGGUGGGAGGCUAUGAAACCAGGACGCUAGUUCUGGUGGAGCCAUCCUUGAAAUACCACCCUGAAGUGCUUGACGUUCUAACCUAGGUCCGUAAUCCGGAUCGGGGACCGUGUAUGGUGGGUAGUUUGACUGGGGCGGUCUCCUCCCAAAGAGUAACGGAGGAGCACGAAGGUACGCUCAGCGCGGUCGGACAUCGCGCACUGUGUGCAAAGGCAUAAGCGUGCUUGACUGCGAGAUCGACGGAUCAAGCAGGUACGAAAGGAGGUCUUAGUGAUCCGGUGGUUCUGUAUGGAAGGGCCAUCGCUCAACGGAUAAAAGGUACUCCGGGGAUAACAGGCUGAUACCGCCCAAGAGUUCAUAUCGACGGCGGUGUUUGGCACCUCGAUGUCGGCUCAUCACAUCCUGGGGCUGUAGCCGGUCCCAAGGGUAUGGCUGUUCGCCAUUUAAAGUGGUACGCGAGCUGGGUUCAGAACGUCGUGAGACAGUUCGGUCCCUAUCUGUCGUGGGCGUUGGAGAUUUGAGGGGGGCUGCUCCUAGUACGAGAGGACCGGAGUGGACGUUCCGCUGGUGUUCGGGUUGUCAUGCCCAUGGCAUUGCCCGGUAGCUACGAACGGAAGUGAUAACCGCUGAAAGCAUCUAAGCGGGAAGCACGCCCCAAGAUGAGAUCUCCCGAGAGCUUGACUCUCCUAAAGGCACCAUCAAGACUAGGUGGUUGAUAGGCACGGUGUGGAAGUGCAGCAAUGCAUUGAGCUUACGUGUACUAAUGAGCCGUGAGGCUUGAUC